UGGGGAAUAUUGCACAAUGGGCGAAAGCCUGAUGCAGCAACGCCGCGUGAGUGAUGAAGGCCUUCGGGUUGUAAAGCUCUGUCUUUUGGGACGAUAAUGACGGUACCAAAGGAGGAAGCCACGGCUAACUACGUGCCAGCAGCCGCGGUAAUACGUAGGUGGCAAGCGUUGUCCGGAUUUACUGGGCGUAAAGGAUGCGUAGGCGGAUUUUUAAGUGAGAUGUGAAAACCCUAAGCUUAACUUGGGGACUGCAUUUCAUACUGGAAAUCUAGAGUGCGGGAGAGGAGAAUGGAAUUCCUAGUGUAGCGGUGAAAUGCGUAGAGAUUAGGAAGAACACCAGUGGCGAAGGCGAUUCUCUGGACCGUAACUGACGCUGAGGCAUGAAAGCGUGGGUAGCAAACAGGAUUAGAUACCCUGGUAGUCCACGCCGUAAACGAUGAGUACUAGGUGUAGGAGGUAUCGACCCCUUCUGUGCCGCAGUUAACACAAUAAGUACUCCGCCUGGGAAGUACGAUCGCAAGAUUAAAACUCAAAUGAAUUGACGGGGUCAUAGCUGUUUUCC
This 562-nucleotide ribosomal RNA is filed under the name uncultured bacterium. Its description in RNAcentral is "partial 16S ribosomal RNA". It matches the Rfam family "Bacterial small subunit ribosomal RNA", at positions 355 to 938 of the family's 1533-position model. The record is from RNAcentral.